RNAcentral lists this ribosomal RNA (548 nucleotides) under uncultured bacterium. RNAcentral describes it as "partial 16S ribosomal RNA". It matches the Rfam family "Bacterial small subunit ribosomal RNA", at positions 355 to 920 of the family's 1533-position model. The record is from RNAcentral.
UGGGGAAUAUUGGACAAUGGGCGCAAGCCUGAUCCAGCAAUGCCGCGUGAGUGAUGAAGGCCUUAGGGUUGUAAAGCUCUUUCGCACGCGACGAUGAUGACGGUAGCGUGAGAAGAAGCCCCGGCUAACUUCGUGCCAGCAGCCGCGGUAAUACGAAGGGGGCUAGCGUUGCUCGGAAUUACUGGGCGUAAAGGGCGCGUAGGCGGCCUGUUUAGUCAGAAGUGAAAGCCCCGGGCUCAACCUGGGAAUAGCUUUUGAUACUGGCAGGCUUGAGUUCCGGAGAGGAUGGUGGAAUUCCCAGUGUAGAGGUGAAAUUCGUAGAUAUUGGGAAGAACACCGGUGGCGAAGGCGGCCAUCUGGACGGACACUGACGCUGAGGCGCGAAAGCGUGGGGAGCAAACAGGAUUAGGAUACCCUGGUAGUCCACGCCGUAAACGAUGAAUGCUAGACGUCGGGGUGCAUGCACUUCGGUGUCGCCGCUAACGCAUUAAGCAUUCCGCCUGGGGAGUACGGCCGCAAGGUUAAAACUCAAAGGAAUUGACGGGGUC